RNAcentral lists this ribosomal RNA (404 nucleotides) under Glyptapanteles porthetriae. RNAcentral's name for it is "partial 16S large subunit ribosomal RNA". Lineage: Eukaryota; Metazoa; Arthropoda; Insecta; Hymenoptera; Braconidae. The record is from RNAcentral.
GUUUUAUUGAUUAAUAAUACUAAGUCAAAUCUGCUCAAUGAAUUAUUUUAAAUAGCUGCAGUAUAAAUAACUGUACAAAGGUAGCAUAAUAAUUAGUUUUUUAAUUAAAAACUGGAAUGAAUGAUUUUAUGAAAUAUAAACUGUAUCAAAUUUAAUAAAUAAAUUUAUUAUUUAAAUAAAAAAAUUUAAAUAAAAUUUAAAGACGAGAAGACCCUAAAGAAUUUUUAUAAUUAUAAUUAUUUUAUAAUUUUAAUUAUUUUAAUUGGGGAAAUUUUAAAAUUUAAUUAAUUUUUAAUUAAUUUAAACAUUUAUUUUUGAAUAAAUUUUUUUAAAAAAAAAAUUAAAUUACCUUAGGGAUAACAGCAUAAUUUUUUUAAAAAGUUCAAAUUUAUAAAAAAGUUUAU